UACGUAGGGUGCAAGCGUUGUCCGGAAUUAUUGGGCGUAAAGAGCUCGUAGGCGGUCUGUCGCGUCGGCUGUGAAAACCCGGGGCUCAACCCCGGGCCUGCAGUCGAUACGGGCAGACUAGAGUGCGGUAGGGGAGACUGGCAUUCCUGGUGUAGCGGUGAAAUGCGCAGAUAUCAGGAGGAACACCGGUGGCGAAGGCGGGUCUCUGGGCCGUAACUGACGCUGAGGAGCGAAAGCGUGGGGAGCGAACAGG
RNAcentral lists this ribosomal RNA (253 nucleotides) under uncultured bacterium. RNAcentral describes it as "partial 16S ribosomal RNA". It matches the Rfam family "Bacterial small subunit ribosomal RNA", at positions 524 to 776 of the family's 1533-position model. The record is from RNAcentral.